Molecule: ribosomal RNA, 923 nt
Filed under: Oshurkovia littoralis
Lineage: Eukaryota; Metazoa; Bryozoa; Gymnolaemata; Cheilostomatida; Umbonulidae
Description: partial 16S ribosomal RNA
Rfam family: Bacterial large subunit ribosomal RNA (bases 695-923)
Source: RNAcentral
ACAUUUACCUUCCAAGUAAAAAGUCAUAUGAUAAAGCAAACCGAAGGGGAAAAUAAAUAGACAAAGCAAAAAUAAGUAUUUCUACCUUGUGUAUCAUGGACUAUUUAAUAAAUAUAUAAACCUAUCAACCCGAAAGCAAAUGAGCUACUUUUAUUCUAUUAAGAAUUCAAACUAAUUGUUGCAAAAAUUUUUAAGAAAUAAAAGUAGAGAUGAAAUGUCUACGCAUUUGCUGAUAUCUGGAUAUAAAAAAUGUAUUUAGUACAAAAAAACAUAUUAAUCUUGGGAUAAGCUAAGAUUAAAAGAUAUACAACCUAAAAUAUAAAAAUUUUUUUAGGCUUAAUAAUAGUCUUAAAAAAAUACUGUAACAAGAAAUUUUACUAAAAUAAACGAUUCUAAAGGAGUUAAUCUAAAUAAAAAGAAAAAACUUAUUUCUUUACUAAAAUGAUAGUAUAAGUAUAACCACCUCUUCACUAUAUAAGAGAACUAAUAAUACAAAAAGGAACUCGGCAAAAAGAGCUACGACUGUUUAACAAAAACAAAGCUUCUCGUUUUUAUAAGAAGUGCCGCCUGCCCAGUGUAUAAUAAACGGCCGCGCAAGUGCUAAGGUAGCAUAAUAAUUUGUCUUUUCAUUGAAGACUAGAAUGAAAGGCAUAACGAAGCUCAACUGUCUCCUUGUAUAGAAUAAAAAUUGAUUUAAAAGUGAAAAAGCUUUUAUUUUUAUGUAGGACGAGAAGACCCUAUAGAGUUUUAGUACAAUGUUUAUUAUACUAUAAGCAUAUACUUUUAUUGGGGCAAUAAAAGAACAAAAAAAAUCUUAUUUAUAUAAUCCCUCAAAGAGAACAAAACAAACUACCUUAGGGAUAACAGCGUAAUCUUACCAAAGAGUUCUAAUCGAAGGUAAGGAUUACGACCUCGAUGUUGGA